This 1249-nucleotide ribosomal RNA is filed under the name uncultured Acinetobacter sp. RNAcentral's name for it is "bacterial SSU rRNA". It matches the Rfam family "Bacterial small subunit ribosomal RNA", at positions 78 to 1322 of the family's 1533-position model. The record is from RNAcentral. Lineage: Bacteria; Pseudomonadati; Pseudomonadota; Gammaproteobacteria; Moraxellales; Moraxellaceae.
GCUUGCUACCUGACCUAGCGGCGGACGGGUGAGUAAUGCUUAGGAAUCUGCCUAUUAGUGGGGGACAACAUUCCGAAAGGAAUGCUAAUACCGCAUACGCCCUACGGGGGAAAGCAGGGGAUCUUCGGACCUUGCGCUAAUAGAUGAGCCUAAGUCAGAUUAGCUAGUUGGUGGGGUAAAGGCCUACCAAGGCGACGAUCUGUAGCGGGUCUGAGAGGAUGAUCCGCCACACUGGGACUGAGACACGGCCCAGACUCCUACGGGAGGCAGCAGUGGGGAAUAUUGGACAAUGGGCGAAAGCCUGAUCCAGCCAUGCCGCGUGUGUGAAGAAGGCCUUUUGGUUGUAAAGCACUUUAAGCGAGGAGGAGGCUACUUAGAUUAAUACUCUAGGAUAGUGGACGUUACUCGCAGAAUAAGCACCGGCUAACUCUGUGCCAGCAGCCGCGGUAAUACAGAGGGUGCGAGCGUUAAUCGGAUUUACUGGGCGUAAAGCGUGCGUAGGCGGCUUCUUAAGUCGGAUGUGAAAUCCCUGAGCUUAACUUAGGAAUUGCAUUCGAUACUGGGAAGCUAGAGUAUGGGAGAGGAUGGUAGAAUUCCAGGUGUAGCGGUGAAAUGCGUAGAGAUCUGGAGGAAUACCGAUGGCGAAGGCAGCCAUCUGGCCUAAUACUGACGCUGAGGUACGAAAGCAUGGGGAGCAAACAGGAUUAGAUACCCUGGUAGUCCAUGCCGUAAACGAUGUCUACUAGCCGUUGGGGCCUUUGAGGCUUUAGUGGCGCAGCUAACGCGAUAAGUAGACCGCCUGGGGAGUACGGUCGCAAGACUAAAACUCAAAUGAAUUGACGGGGGCCCGCACAAGCGGUGGAGCAUGUGGUUUAAUUCGAUGCAACGCGAAGAACCUUACCUGGUCUUGACAUAGUAAGAACUUUCCAGAGAUGGAUUGGUGCCUUCGGGAACUUACAUACAGGUGCUGCAUGGCUGUCGUCAGCUCGUGUCGUGAGAUGUUGGGUUAAGUCCCGCAACGAGCGCAACCCUUUUCCUUAUUUGCCAGCGGGUUAAGCCGGGAACUUUAAGGAUACUGCCAGUGACAAACUGGAGGAAGGCGGGGACGACGUCAAGUCAUCAUGGCCCUUACGACCAGGGCUACACACGUGCUACAAUGGUCGGUACAAAGGGUUGCUACCUAGCGAUAGGAUGCUAAUCUCAAAAAGCCGAUCGUAGUCCGGAUUGGAGUCUGCAACUCGACUCCAUG